RNAcentral lists this ribosomal RNA (253 nucleotides) under uncultured bacterium. RNAcentral's name for it is "partial 16S ribosomal RNA". It matches the Rfam family "Bacterial small subunit ribosomal RNA", at positions 524 to 776 of the family's 1533-position model. The record is from RNAcentral.
UACGUAGGGCGCAAGCGUUGUCCGGAAUUAUUGGGCGUAAAGAGCUCGUAGGCGGCCUGUUACGUCUGCUGUGAAAUCCCGGGGCUUAACCCCGGGCGUGCAGUGGAUACGGGCAGGCUGGAGGCAGGCAGGGGAGAACGGAAUUCCCGGUGUAGCGGUGAAAUGCGCAGAUAUCGGGAGGAACACCGGUGGCGAAGGCGGUUCUCUGGGCCUGUACUGACGCUGAGGAGCGAAAGCCAGGGGAGCAAACGGG